CUGCAGCCAAUUAAGCUGACUGGUUUCCUUUCCUCGUGGGGUCCUGGUGAACAGCAGCUGCAAGCAGCAGCCUCCUUGGUUGUGUAUGUAACCUGCUGCUUGCUCAGGUUGUCCUAAGGGACCCUGGAGACAGUU
Small nucleolar RNA from Jaculus jaculus (lesser Egyptian jerboa), 135 nucleotides. RefSeq annotates it as small nucleolar RNA SNORA70. The transcript has a single exon. The record is from RefSeq and is a predicted model, not a curated record. NCBI's taxonomy places the organism in Eukaryota, Metazoa, Chordata, Mammalia, Rodentia, Dipodidae.